This 172-nucleotide unclassified non-coding RNA is filed under the name uncultured Phlogicylindrium. RNAcentral's name for it is "sequence contains ITS2". The record is from RNAcentral. Lineage: Eukaryota; Fungi; Ascomycota; Sordariomycetes.
CAACCCUUAAGCUCAGCUUAGUGUUGGGAAUCUACCGCGGGUGCUACCCUGUAGCUACCCUGUAGUUCCUCAAAACCAACGGCGGAGUUAUAGUUACCUCUGAGCGCAGUAAUUUUUAUCACGCUUGGGAAGUGCUAUACUUCUUGCCGCUAAACCCCCCAAUUUUUAAUGG